This 253-nucleotide ribosomal RNA is filed under the name uncultured bacterium. RNAcentral's name for it is "partial 16S ribosomal RNA". It matches the Rfam family "Bacterial small subunit ribosomal RNA", at positions 524 to 776 of the family's 1533-position model. The record is from RNAcentral.
UACGUAGGGAGCAAGCGUUGUCCGGAAUCAUUGGGCGUAAAGCGCGCGUAGGCGGCCCGAUAAGUCCGCUGUAAAAGUCAACGGCUCAACUGUUGAAAGCCGGUGGAUACUGUCGGGCUAGAGUACGGAAGAGGCAAGUGGAAUUCCUGGUGUAGCGGUGGAAUGCGCAGAUAUCAUUAGGAACGCCGGUGGCGAAAGCGACGUGCUGGACCUCUUCUGACGCUGAGGCGCGAAAGCUAGGGGAGCGAACGGG